RNAcentral lists this ribosomal RNA (478 nucleotides) under uncultured bacterium. RNAcentral describes it as "bacterial SSU rRNA". It matches the Rfam family "Bacterial small subunit ribosomal RNA", at positions 28 to 505 of the family's 1533-position model. The record is from RNAcentral.
GACGAACGCUGGCGGCGUGCCUAACACAUGCAAGUCAACUUGACUGAAGGAGCAAUCUGACAGUAGAGUGGCGCAAGGGUGCGUAACGCGUAAGUAACUUGCCCCAAGGUAAGGAAUAACGUCGAGAAAUCGGCGCUAAUACCUCAUAAUGCAGCGGAUCCGCAUGGAUAUGUUGUUAAAGGUUUACCGCCUUGGGAUAGGCUUGCGUCUGAUUAGCUAGUUGGUGUGGUAACGGCACACCAAGGCUACGAUCAGUAACUGGUCUGAGAGGAUGAUCAGUCACACUGGAACUGAGACACGGUCCAGACUCCUACGGGAGGCAGCAGUGAGGAAUAUUGGGCAAUGCUCGAAAGAGUGACCCAGCAACGCCGCGUGGAGGAUGAAGGUAUUCUAUAUCGUAAACUCCUGUGAGAGCAGACGAAAGACAGAUUAUUAAUCUGGAUGACUGUAUGCUCAGAGGAAGCCCGGCUAACGUACG